UACAGAGGGUGCAAGCGUUAUUCGGAAUUAUUGGGCAUAAAGCGCAUGUAGGUGGCUUGGUUAGUUUGAUGUGAAAUCCCCGGACUCAAUUCGGGAAGUGCAUUGAAUACUGCCAGGCUAGAGUAUGGGAGAGGUGAGCGGAAUUCCAGGUGUAGAGGUGAAAUUCGUAGAUAUCUGGAGGAACAACAGAGGCGAAGGCGGCUCACUGGACCAUUACUGACACUGAGAUGCGAAAGCGUGGGGAGCAAACAGG
RNAcentral lists this ribosomal RNA (253 nucleotides) under uncultured bacterium. Its description in RNAcentral is "partial 16S ribosomal RNA". It matches the Rfam family "Bacterial small subunit ribosomal RNA", at positions 524 to 776 of the family's 1533-position model. The record is from RNAcentral.